UUCGUCUCACGUAACUGGCGAAAAGCCGGGACCUUGUUCCGGCACAAGAUGGGUAUCCAUCGGGAAGCGUGAGAUUUCAUUAGCCGUGCGCCUGGGCAGCCCUG
This 104-nucleotide non-coding RNA is filed under the name Herbaspirillum sp. RNAcentral's name for it is "ZTP sequence". It matches the Rfam family "ZMP/ZTP riboswitch aptamer (pfl RNA motif)". From Rfam's summary of the family: Previously known as pfl RNA. ZMP is also known as AICAR. The record is from RNAcentral. Lineage: Bacteria; Pseudomonadati; Pseudomonadota; Betaproteobacteria; Burkholderiales; Oxalobacteraceae.